RNAcentral lists this ribosomal RNA (432 nucleotides) under uncultured bacterium. RNAcentral describes it as "partial 16S ribosomal RNA". It matches the Rfam family "Bacterial small subunit ribosomal RNA", at positions 29 to 506 of the family's 1533-position model. The record is from RNAcentral.
AACGAACGCUGGCGGCAUGCCUAACACAUGCAAGUCGAACGAGACCUUCGGGUCUAGUGGCGCACGGGUGCGUAACGCGUGGGAACCUGCCCUUAGGUUCGGAAUAACUCCCCGAAAGGGGUGCUAAUACCGGAUAAUGUCUUCGGACCAAAGAUUUAUCGCCUUUGGAUGGGCCCGCGUUGGAUUAGCUAGUUGGUAGGGUAAAAGCCUACCAAGGCGACGAUCCAUAGCUGGUCUGAGAGGAUGAUCAGCCACACUGGGACUGAGACACGGCCCAGACUCCUACGGGAGGCAGCAGUGGGGAAUAUUGGACAAUGGGCGAAAGCCUGAUCCAGCAAUGCCGCGUGAGUGAUGAAGGCCUUAGGGUUGAAAAGCUCUUUUACCCGGGAUGAUAAUGACAGUACCGGGAGAAUAAGCUCCGGCUAACUCCGU